GGUGAUAAAGCAUACACAUUUACACUUACAUUUAGCACCACAAGCAUGUUUUGCACCUAUAAGAUAAAUUAGCAUGCUUGAACUUUUUAUCCGGCCAAAAUAUAGGCUAUUACCAUCGAGCUUCAAAAGAGAUCUUAAUGUACUAUUAUUGGGAGCUCUAAGUAUUACGAAACGACUAAAAUUCACACUUUGUUUAACAUACCAAUAUGCAAGCCCCAAAGUCGAUGUCUGAUACCUUAAACUGGUUGGAUUUAUUACAAGAACGAAUCCAAGAUAAUCACGCUUGUUACUUCAAUAGAGUUCUUUCCAAGCUUCUUAUUUAUGAUGCUAAUUUGCAGACCCCAGGCUUGAACAUAAUCAC
This 361-nucleotide unclassified non-coding RNA is filed under the name Hevea brasiliensis (rubber tree). Lineage: Eukaryota; Viridiplantae; Streptophyta; Magnoliopsida; Malpighiales; Euphorbiaceae. The record is from RNAcentral.